CUGAGAAUUGCAAACUAAUUUGUGAAGGAAAUGUAAAUGAUUGUAAACUAUUGACAAUCAAUUCCAGCAAAUAAGAUACUUCUGAUGUUGCAAUUAUCGUGAUUAUCAGAUUACGAUUUUAUCGAGCUUAUUGUACGGUAGUACUAUGGUACACCGUACAUCUUAAUAAGAGAUUUGGGCAAGCAUAGUUCAGAGUGGAAAUAGGAAAACACAAAUGCAACCUCUGCCACCUAAAUGGUAAUCGUUCUAUAACACAUGUUUAAACAUCAAAGCAAACGAAUACAGUCUCGAUCGGAUGGUCGUGCCGAGCUAGCUUGCCGCACGGUAUCAGCACCACAUAGUAGAUGCUUUCUUCGCAGUCAUCGACUGAUCGUAUCUUGGGUGUGCACAGGAAAAAGGUGAUCGAUCGUCCUUCAUUCUCCGUGACUUAGAGACGGGAGAAUUGAGAUCCGGCGGGGAAGUAAGUCGUCGGUAUCGGAGGAGGCUUCGACUUGUUCUUGGAGUCGUUCUUCCUCGACUCGCCUUUGCCCUCGACACAGCCGUCUUUGCUUACCGAGCGGCUCUUGUUCGAGUGAUCAGCUUCGAUGGGAAGGAUCCUUCCCAUCGAAGCUGAUCACUCUCCCAUUUGAACGAUCGGAGAAACAACUGAAGAGGGUCGAGAAGAGACUCAUGAUCGAUGAGGAUGGAAGCAGAAAAUAUUAUUCUGCCAGCAGAAGAGGCUGAGACAAAUUAGCACUUGGCAGAAGCUGUCGUUGUACUAGCUAACUUUGCUGAGAUGUGGUGAGAAAAUUCACGAUUUUUUUUGUUCACUUUAUAUAAAGACAUGUGGAUGAGGAACCACCGGCCGUGAUGGCUCCGUUGGGUAGACUUCUGUGAUCCUUUGCGAGAGAGGUGAAGAGUUCGAAUCCCUUACAACGCAAAAAGGCUAGUGGAGUUACUUGGUGACUUACUCGGUGGCAUGGGGUGGUGGUUUCCACGUGUUGCCCCUAGGUUCUUCCCGCCGGCUGUCGGCUUACGGGGUUUCCUGGGUUAUCAAAAAAAAAGAAAAAAAAAAAGACAUGUGGAUGAGGCUUUGAAGAGACCUGGCCUUGGCUUCCAGGGAAUUGGUGGGUUUCCUGUGUCACUAUCAUUUACUCUUCCUCCUCCUUAGGUUCUUGGAAUUACUUAGGUUAUAAAUUGUGAGCAGAAGAUAUUAUUCUGCGAGCAGAAGAGGCUGAGACAAAUUAGCACUUGGCAGAAUCUGUCGUUGUACUAGCUAACUUUGCUGAGAUGUGGUGAGAAAAUUCACGAUUUUUUUUGUUCACUAUAUAUAAAGAUAUGUGGAUGAAGCUUUGAAGAGACUUGGCCUUUGCUUCCAGGG
RNAcentral lists this long non-coding RNA (1360 nucleotides) under Eucalyptus grandis. Its description in RNAcentral is "long non-coding RNA (EGRA_LNC003332)". The record is from RNAcentral. Lineage: Eukaryota; Viridiplantae; Streptophyta; Magnoliopsida; Myrtales; Myrtaceae.